GGGCGCGUAGCUCAGCUGGCUAGAGCACCUCGUUUACACCGAGGGGGUCCGGGGUUCGAGUCCCUGCGCGCCCACCA
Molecule: transfer RNA, 77 nt
Filed under: bacterium
Lineage: Bacteria
Also listed under: 2 other names
Description: tRNA-Val
Rfam family: tRNA
About the family: Transfer RNA (tRNA) molecules are approximately 80 nucleotides in length.
Source: RNAcentral